This is a long non-coding RNA of Olea europaea var. sylvestris, 820 nucleotides long. RefSeq lists it as uncharacterized. NCBI's taxonomy places the organism in Eukaryota, Viridiplantae, Streptophyta, Magnoliopsida, Lamiales, Oleaceae. The transcript has 2 exons. The record is from RefSeq and is a predicted model, not a curated record.
UUCUCUUUUUCUCUGAUAAUAACUUGAUAUGCAUUUAAUGCAUGAUCUCUCUCUCUCUCUCUAGAUUCCAAUGAUUUUCGUUCUUCGAUUUUCUCUUUUCAAUGGCAUUUCAAUGCAUUAGUAGGUGUUUCAUCUCUCUGAAACGGUGCUAAUUCCAUUGCCUGUACAUUCAUUUGAACAGGGAUUUUAUCUGGAGGUUGGACUUUCUGCAUGUAGUAACAUUGUGGCAAUAUAAGUUCUUGGGUAAAUUGAAUGGUCGGUUUUAUCAGUUCGGAUUGACAUACAAGUCGGAUUUUUCUCAAUUUACUGUCUUGUUCAAUAUUUUGGCUUGAGAAAAGGAAUGCUUAAAGGGUAUAUAGAAUUUUAUGUCGGCUAAUUGCAGAGAAGAACGUUUUUAUUGUAGUUGAUCUGUUCUACUUACUAGUCCUGGUAAAGAGUUAUAAAAUGCUGGAAACUGAAUUAUGUUCUUCACGGGUUUUUUCACCUUCUCGCGAGGAAAGUGGUGAUGAAGAGCUUUCUGUUCUUCCGAGGCAUACAAAGGUCAUUGUGACUGGGAACAACAGAACAAAGAGUGUUUUGGUCGGCCUGCAAGGUGUUGUCAAGAAGGCUGUUGGGCUUGGCGGUUGGCAUUGGCUGGUAUUAACAUUUUACCACCAUAAGAUGAUAAAGCAUGUUUGGCUGAGCUUAAAAACGUUUACUUAUAAAUAAAUAACUUUUUUGUCAUAAAUGGUUCCAUAAGUAUAUCUGAUGGUAAAGUGACAUUAAGUAAGAGUUAUUUUCAACAUAAACCUUUUUUUUUUUUUUUUUUUUUUUUUUUUUU